Sesamum indicum (sesame) is the source of this 555-nucleotide non-coding RNA. The record is from RefSeq and is a predicted model, not a curated record. Lineage: Eukaryota; Viridiplantae; Streptophyta; Magnoliopsida; Lamiales; Pedaliaceae.
CUACUUCACUGCUUGCAGAUUUUUAGCGCUGUUCUUCUUUACUUCUUUUCCCUUUUUCUUUGAAAUUGGAGAUUUUUCAUUAAUUUUUUCCUCCUUCUCAUGGCUGUAUAAAAAGUUAUAGUAGAUGCGUUGUCUGAAACUGUGCGCAUAUAUAUAAAUACACGUAUCGAUAUACUUAUACUUACAUGUAUAUCCAUUCAUCACAACGGCCACACCAUCAUGGUUUAAUGGGUCGUGUUCUCUGAUUAUAAAAGAACAUUAGUUUUCGAGUUUUUUUAAAUAACUUUUUGUUGGGCUUUCUCACAAUUCAGUUGUUCAGAAAAGGAGAUAACUGAAAAUCCGCAUAGAAAAUGAACUACAACAAUGAGAAUAACCGUGACAUGUGGGAUUGGCAAGGCCAGGACUAUGAUCUUGAAGAUAAUGCCAGCACAGACAUAUCCAAAUGCCUGUUGAAUGGAGUGAACCAAAAUGAAGACCAUCUUUCUUGUGCGUUCGAUAGUGCAACUACACCAGUCAAGGCUUGUGGGGAUUUAGCUUACCAUGUAACCAACAGUG